Molecule: ribosomal RNA, 793 nt
Filed under: uncultured bacterium
Lineage: Bacteria
Description: bacterial SSU rRNA
Rfam family: Bacterial small subunit ribosomal RNA
Source: RNAcentral
UGCAGUCGGACGGGAUUCAGGACAGAGCUUGCUUUGUCCUGAUGAGAGUGGCGCACGGGUGCGUAACGCGUGAGCAACCUGCCCCUGUCAGGGGUAUAGCCCCUCGAAAGAGGGAUUAACACCGCAUAACGAUAUCCCCCGGCAUCGGGGGAUGUCCAAAUAUUCAUAGGACAGGGAUGGGCUCGCGUGGCAUUAGCUAGUUGGUUGGGUGACGGCUGACCAAGGCUACGAUGCCUAGGGGCUCUGAGAGGAGAAUCCCCCACACUGGUACUGAGACACGGACCAGACUCCUACGGGAGGCAGCAGUGAGGAACAUUGGGCAAUGGAGGCAACUCUGACCCAGCCAUGCCGCGUGCAGGAAGACGGUCCUAUGGAUUGUAAACUGCUUUUAUACGGGAAGAAACACUCCGACGUGUCGGAACUUGACGGUACCGUAAGAAUAAGGAUCGGCUAACUCCGUGCCAGCAGCCGCGGUAAUACGGAGGAUCCAAGCGUUAUCCGGAAUCAUUGGGUUUAAAGGGUCCGUAGGCGGCCUUAUAAGUCAGUGGUGAAAUCUCCUAGCUCAACUAGGAAACUGCCAUUGAUACUGUAGGGCUUGAAUUAUUGUGAAGUAACUAGAAUAUGUAGUGUAGCGGUGAAAUGCUUAGAUAUUACAUGGAAUACCAAUUGCGAAGGCAGGUUACUAACAAUCGAUUGACGCUGAUGGACGAAAGCGUGGGUAGCGAACAGGAUUAGAUACCCUGGUAGUCCACGCCGUAAACGAUGGAUACUAGCUGUUGGGAGCAAUCUCAGU